GUAUGGAGCGAGCGUUGUCCGGAAUUAUUGGGCGUAAAGGGUGCGCAGGCGGCUUUACAAGUUGGAUGUGAAAUAUUGUGGCUCAACCACAAACGUGCAUCCAAAACUGCAAAGCUUGAGUUAAGGAGAGGUAAGUGGAAUUCCUGGUGUAGCGGUGGAAUGCGUAGAUAUCAGGAGGAAUACCGGUGGCGAAGGCGACUUACUGGACUUAAACUGACGCUCAGGCACGAAAGCGUGGGGAGCAAACAGGAUUAGAUACCCUGGUAGUCCACGCCGUAAACGAUGAGUGCUAGGUGUUGGGGGUCAAACCUCGGUGCCGCAGCAAACGCAAUAAGCACUCCGCCUGGGGAGU
Molecule: ribosomal RNA, 352 nt
Filed under: uncultured bacterium
Lineage: Bacteria
Description: bacterial SSU rRNA
Rfam family: Bacterial small subunit ribosomal RNA
Source: RNAcentral